This 253-nucleotide ribosomal RNA is filed under the name uncultured bacterium. Its description in RNAcentral is "partial 16S ribosomal RNA". It matches the Rfam family "Bacterial small subunit ribosomal RNA", at positions 524 to 776 of the family's 1533-position model. The record is from RNAcentral.
UACGUAGGUGGCGAGCGUUGUCCGGAUUUACUGGGCGUAAAGGGAGCGUAGGCGGGCUUUUAAGUGAGAUGUGAAAUACUCGGGCUCAACUUGAGUGCUGCAUUUCAAACUGGGAGUCUAGAGUGCAGGAGAGGAGAAUGGAAUUCCUAGUGUAGCGGUGAAAUGCGUAGAGAUUAGGAAGAACACCAGUGGCGAAGGCGAUUCUCUGGACUGUAACUGACGCUGAGGCUCGAAAGCGUGGGGAGCAAACAGG